RNAcentral lists this long non-coding RNA (523 nucleotides) under Nicotiana benthamiana. RNAcentral's name for it is "long non-coding RNA (NBEN_LNC031428)". Lineage: Eukaryota; Viridiplantae; Streptophyta; Magnoliopsida; Solanales; Solanaceae. The record is from RNAcentral.
CCGCUCCUCAUUUCUAUAUCUCCUGAUUUGAACGUUGGAUUGCACAGAAUUUUAUGAGGUGCUUAAAGAGGUGUGUUUCCUUUUCCUUUUAGCCCUUAUUGUCCCCAGACCCCAUUCAUUUUGGAAAUCGUUAUUUAGAAGCCAUAUUGAGCUCUUAAAUCAAAGAAAUUCAUUGCGUGGGUGAUGAGAAAGAUUCUGGACAGUAGAGAUAUGGUACUGGAAAAUACUCAGCUACAGGGUGAUCUUACUUGUAGGUUGCAAAGUGUAUGCAGGUUGAAUAAAUUUCAUAUCCACAAACUAUAUCUCACUAUGCUGCCCAAUUACACCAGUAGGUUGCAAAGUGUAUGCAGGUUGAAUAAAUUUCAUAUCCACAAACUAUAUCUCACUAUGCUGCCCACUUCACUAAGGUUGCAUGGAAGAACUUACUGCUUAUUACUAAUGUACUAUCUAAGCAUAAGUUUACAGUUUGGCUGGCUGCUCAUCAUAGGCUUCCCACAGUUGAUAGAUUGCAGAUCAUGGGCAU